This 205-nucleotide long non-coding RNA is filed under the name Elaeis guineensis (African oil palm). RNAcentral describes it as "long non-coding RNA (EGUI_LNC037121)". Lineage: Eukaryota; Viridiplantae; Streptophyta; Magnoliopsida; Arecales; Arecaceae. The record is from RNAcentral.
GGUAUAAAUGUCCCUCCAACUUGAGACCGCCAUGGUGAGUUGCAAGCAACUCACUGCACUUAGGCACUGGACUACCUGAAUUUCUAAUUCAGUGACAGAAGGCUGCUGGGUGUAGUCAAGUACUUGACUUGUCGGUGCGUGUGUCAAGAUGGGAUUGACCACUCCAGUUCAGGAGCUGUGUACAGUCGUGUUUCAAUUUAGCAAA